Gasterosteus aculeatus aculeatus (three-spined stickleback) is the source of this 932-nucleotide long non-coding RNA. The record is from Ensembl. NCBI's taxonomy places the organism in Eukaryota, Metazoa, Chordata, Actinopteri, Perciformes, Gasterosteidae.
CGAUGCCUGUCAAUUCCAUGCGCAUUCUAAGCCCCGCCCUCUAUGCGGUUUAAUGGGCAAAAUACCUGACCAGGUGGAGGCGCUGCUGCAGGGGGAAAAGUUAAAAUCGGGAGAAACAACGUGGUCACAGGAAUUCAUCGGCGUCUCCAGUGAUGGAAACGGGACGCCCGGGUGGACGCACUACUUCUCUGCGAGCGUCAAUAUUCCGUCUGUCAAGCAUUGAUUCCAAAUCAAUCAGCGCCCACUUUGAAGAGCGACUGGAUACGCGGGAUGUGAAAGAAUAAUUCACUGGUUUUGGGCACGUCCCCCCACUCCCCCCGUUCCCCCCGGAGCCGUGGAGGUGAGGAGCCUGGGUGGCAGCGCAGCACGCCGGGGCCUCCCUGGCUGGCGCCUGUAAUUUUACCUUCACAUUCAUCAGCCGGAGAUAUUAAUAAUAACUGCACAUCUGGAUUCACUUUACCGUCUCGCGUUCAGCCCCCCCCUUCUGCGUCUCCUCCACUGCUGCAGUUCCCCUGUUUGAGUCUCCGCUCACCUGAGCAGCUUCACGUCGACGUGUUGCUUCUGUCUCAAAUGAUGGAUAUGGAGCGUCCUUUUAUUAACGGCCAUGAAGAGACAGGAAUGUGUCCACUAUGCUGUGGAGGAAGUGCUGCACACUUUUUGGCAAACGAUUCUCACCGUUCUUUUUAUGCUUUUAGGGACCUAACAUCUGAAUUGUUAAUGCUUCCACCUCCACAUUGUGCCGCCACCUCCCGUUACGUUGCGGCCCCCCCAAGUGGAGCCAAAACAUCCGGAUCGCCCCCUGGUGGGCGAUGUUAUGAUUUAGAAAGCGAUUGAUUGGAUACGCAGCAGAUUGUGUACGAUAAGAGAACAUUUUAAACCUAAAAAGGCUUUUGAAGGAACGAAAAGCUUCAGUGUGUGUGUGUGUGUGUGUG